Molecule: ribosomal RNA, 1480 nt
Filed under: Rahnella sp. N1EH1
Lineage: Bacteria; Pseudomonadati; Pseudomonadota; Gammaproteobacteria; Enterobacterales; Yersiniaceae
Description: 16S ribosomal RNA
Rfam family: Bacterial small subunit ribosomal RNA
Source: RNAcentral
CGCUGGCGGCAGCGCUAACACAUGCAAGUCGAGCGGCUAGCGGGAGAGCUUGCUCUCUGGGUGACGAGCGGCGGACGGGUGAGUAAUGUCUGGGAAACUGCCUGAUGGAGGGGGAUAACUACUGGAAACGGUAGCUAAUACCGCAUGAUGUCGCAAGCACAAAGUGGGGGACCUUCGGGCCUCACGCCAUCGGAUGUGCCCAGAUGGGAUUAGCUAGUAGGUGGGGUAAUGGCUCACCUAGGCGACGAUCCCUAGCUGGUCUGAGAGGAUGACCAGCCACACUGGAACUGAGACACGGUCCAGACUCCUACGGGAGGCAGCAGUGGGGAAUAUUGCACAAUGGGCGCACGUGAAUGCAGCCAUGCCGCGUGUGUGAAGAAGGCCUUAGGGUUGUAAAGCACUUUCAGCGAGGAGGAAGGCGUUGUAGUUAAUAAGCUGCAACCGAUUGACGUUACUCGCAGAAGAAGCACCGGCUAACUCCGUGCCAGCAGCCGCGGUAAUACGGAGGGAUGCAGCGUUAAUCGGAAUUACUGGGCGUAAAGCGCACCCAGGCGGUUUGUUAAGUCAGAUGUGAAAUCCCCGAGCUUAACUUGGGAACUGCAUUUGAAACUGGCAAGCUAGAGUCUUGUAGAGGGGGGUAGAAUUCACGGUGUAGCGGUGAAAUGCGUAGAGAUCUGGAGGAAUACCGGUGGCGAAGCGGGCCCCCUGGACAAAGACUGACGCUCAGGUGCGAAACGGUGGGGAGCAAACAGGAUUAGAUACCCUGGUAGUCCACGCUGUAAACGAUGUCGACUUGGAGGUUGUGCCCUUGAGGCGUGGCUUCCGGAGCUAACGCGUUAAGUCGACCGCCUGGGGAGUACGGCCGCAAGGUUAAAACUCAAAUGAAUUGACGGGGGCCCGCACAGCGGUGGAGCAUGUGGUUUAAUUCGAUGCAACGCGAAGAACCUUACCUACUCUUGACAUCCAGAGAAUUUGCUAGAGAUAGCUUAGUGCCUUCGGGAACUCUGAGACAGGUGCUGCAUGGCUGUCGUCAGCUCGUGUUGUGAAAUGUUGGGUUAAGUCCCGCAACGAGCGCAACCCUUAUCCUUUGUUGCCAGCACGUAAUGGUGGGAACUCAAAGGAGACUGCCGGUGAUAAACCGGAGGAAGGUGGGGAUGACGUCAAGUCAUCAUGGCCCUUACGAGUAGGGCUACACACGUGCUACAAUGGCGUAUACAAAGAGAAGCGAACUCGCGAGAGCAAGCGGACCUCAUAAAGUACGUCGUAGUCCGGAUUGGAGUCUGCAACUCGACUCCAUGAAGUCGGAAUCGCUAGUAAUCGUAGAUCAGAAUGCUACGGUGAAUACGUUCCCGGGCCUUGUACACACCGCCCGUCACACCAUGGGAGUGGGUUGCAAAAGAAGUAGGUAGCUUAACCUUCGGGAGGGCGCUUACCACUUUGUGAUUCAUGACUGGCGUGAAGUCGUAACAAGGUAACCGUA